RNAcentral lists this ribosomal RNA (253 nucleotides) under uncultured bacterium. RNAcentral's name for it is "partial 16S ribosomal RNA". It matches the Rfam family "Bacterial small subunit ribosomal RNA", at positions 524 to 776 of the family's 1533-position model. The record is from RNAcentral.
UACAGAGGGUGCUAGCGUUGUUCGGAAUCAUUGGGCGUAAAGGGCGUGUAGGCGGUUUGUUAAGUCAUGUGUGAAAUCCCUCGGCUCAACCGGGGAACGACGCAUGAAACUGGCAAGCUAGAGUACCAAAGAGGGGGGUGGAAUUCCCGGUGUAGCGGUGAAUUGCGUAGAUAUCGGGAGGAACACCUGUGGCGAAAGCGGCUCACUGGACCACAACUGACGCUGAUGCGCGAAAGCGUGGGGAGCAAACAGG